Non-coding RNA from Ictidomys tridecemlineatus (thirteen-lined ground squirrel), 448 nucleotides. The record is from RefSeq and is a predicted model, not a curated record. Lineage: Eukaryota; Metazoa; Chordata; Mammalia; Rodentia; Sciuridae.
GCUCCUGCAGGCUCGCAAGCCAAUUCCCUUUUCUACUUCUCCACCAGGCUGUGCCACAGCCAAACAGAAGUGCUGUGCUAUUUGAUCUUUUCAGCCACUGGAAUUGACCCUCCUCACUGACCUUCAUCUGGCCCUUGGCUUGGGACAAGGAUGUGUAGAACAACAUCCUCUGCCAACCCUCAAGAAGAAGUGAGUCCAAUGCAUCCUCCACAGAUAUGAAAUCAAAACAGGGUACAGAGGUCAAUUUUGUGCACCAACUGGACGGAGCUAGAGGAGGUCCAGAUACCUGAUACAGUAUUGUUUCUGAAUGGGUCCAAGAGGGUAUUUCUGGAAGAGAAUAGUAUCUGAAUUAUCAGAUUGAAUCAAGGAGGUCCAUCGUCACCAAUGUGGGUGGGCAUCAUCCAAUCUGUUGAGGAUCUGAAUAAACAAAAAGUUGGAGGAAAAGCAA